Gymnodraco acuticeps is the source of this 1272-nucleotide long non-coding RNA. RefSeq lists it as uncharacterized. NCBI's taxonomy places the organism in Eukaryota, Metazoa, Chordata, Actinopteri, Perciformes, Bathydraconidae. The record is from RefSeq and is a predicted model, not a curated record. The transcript has 3 exons.
UGUGUGUGUGUGUGUGUGUGUGUGUGUGUGUGUGUGUGUGUGUAGAUCAGACCUGUGAGGAUGCUUCUUGUCCGUUCUCUGGGAUGGUGACCCUGAGGUCACAGACUGAGAUCUGACUCGAGCUGUUUGGAAUUUCCCAGAAUUCCCUGCCUGGACGCGUCGCCUUCACCAACCGUUACUACGGAGGAGACGAGCCACACGCACACCGGGUGCUCUACGUCAACGACAUUUUGUCACGUAACGUGGGGAACAGGACCGAUGGAGGAGAGGAAGCAGAGAGCGUUUUCAUUCGAGACAGCGCUCACUGUGCGGACGUGACGAGAGGAAGAGUCACCGACCGCCGCUCGCUGAAGAACGCCAGACAGGAGAUUGAGAAACAUGUGGAGAGCUGGCUGAAGACGGCCCAACAGGAGAAGAAAAGGACAGAGUGAAGAUAUUUGAUCACAAACAGAUGAAGCAGUGAAUACAGUUAGCUGCUCUUCAUCACCAUCAUCAUCAUCAUCAUAAUUCUAGGUGUAAAGAUGUUUUACAAAAUAUGUUCGAAAGGUUUCCAAAUCAUUCAGUAGUUGUAACAACGCAAUACAUAAAAUGUUAAAUGUGUGCAACAAUAAAAAGUCUAUAAAUAUUUGACUGAAGUAAUUAUAGUGGAAGUGUUAUCGUCUCGUAUCAUCUAGGAUACAAUACCAUUUAUUAAAUCAUUUCCAUUUAUUAAAUAAUUUCCAUUUAUACGUGAUUAUACGAUAUACUAUUGUAUAAUAUCAUAUUUUAUUAUUUAUUUGUAUAUUAUAUCACACUAUAGUAUUAUUGUCUAUGACAUUACAUUAUAUAAAAUGAAUAGCAUAAAUAAUAGCAUUACAAAUAAGUAAAUUAUUAUGUAUUAGUUUAAUCUUAAAUAUAAAGUGUUUGAUUUGUUUAUAUACAUUUAUGAAAGCAGAAGAUAAUCCAUUAUUCUCCUUUUGCCUUUCUUUAUGAAAUUCUGAAUUGUAUGUGUUUGCGUAAUAUAAUAACACUGAUUAUCUCUUGCUUGUUUUAAUCACAAUAUGUUUGAGCUGCCAUAACCCUAUGUUUCCACUAGGGGGCGAUGGUGCUACAUGCGUGCUAACAAGACCCUUUUCUUGACCCUCAUUCUCUGUAAAACACCAGCAAUCAAAACUCACUACACACUGGUUUCAUCGCUUUUUCUUCUACUGUAAUCAAAAGACAGAAUAUGUAUGUGGUACUGAAAACGUUUGCAGAUUCAUUUUAACAUUAAAUUCGAUUUGUUCAAUAGAG